AGAAGUACAGAUUGAUGAGUUCAAGCUGGAAAUGAUCGCCGCAAAAAAACACGCACCGCGUUUUGCGGCCAAGUGUAUGACUGCAAUUUGAGCGGAAUAUGUUUGGGUUUCCGUGGCAUCCCCUCAUCGUUUGGUCUCUUGUCUCAGCCGUUAUCAAUACAGCCGCGGCGGCACGCAUACGUGUGUGUCGUCAGUGGAUAUAUGGAAUUAUGGAUGCACUGCGCGCCGUACCGGAUUUGUGUAUGAUCUGGAUUGUUGAGCGCUUUCCGGUUGAUGCGCACUGAUUCCCGUCUUCUGUUGAUACAAUAUGGUUUCUCUUGUUGGUUCGGAUAUGAAGUGUGUGCUGAUUAAUUCAAGGCCGAUUGUCCACGCUAUGUGCCGGCUGGAUGAACCGGUUUCAAUUGUGAUGGAUUCAGAAUGGGUUGCUAAUCGUUCGCUUAUCACAAUACAACAGCUGCUGCGAAUGAAGCCAAUAUUUUCGGAUACAGGCGCGUAGAUGCCUGCCCGGUUGUGCCGCACGCUUCCGAAUCCUGAUUAUGUUAGCCGGGAUUGACUUUGCACGGAAGUGUUUAUCUUUGCUAACUAUUGAUGUAGCCUGACAGUGUGUAAAGUUCGCCACUGUGCAGUUCGAAUUAAAUUCUCCAGAACAAAUGUUAUUCUUGGAUUACAGCUACUUAAGACAAGCAAAAGCGGGAUGCAGCAGGGAAGGCAAGGAAUUUUUUCCGAAUCCCAUGAAGAUUUGUACGUAGCAAGAGAUAGGCAGCAGAGCGUAAAGCGAUACCGAACAUGAUCAACUGGACGCAAUCUGUGGCUAAACUAUCGCCGGUAAAUCCCAGAUGGUUGAUAAUAUCGUCACCCGUUCGGAAGAUAUCCGCUUGCAAUGUGCAGUUCAUGCACGAUGGCAGAUCCACGCCGUGCCACUGAUUCACUAAUGACGCUUUCAAUGCGUAAUGGAAAAACGAUGCAUACUGCAAGAAGAUUAUUGUGAUACACCUCAUAUAAUUUUCUGACAAAACCUUUUUCGAAAACUUUCCGAAAGAACAUGGAUUCCUCAACUCUGCCAAAACUUUGGUGUGUUGUAAGCACUUUUGAUUAAAAUUUAAGUAUAUACUCGUAUCCAAAUAACCUUUCUCACCGAAAAACGUUUAGCCACCAAGGAAGGGAUUUGGGAUUGAGGAAGAAGCCGCCAAUAGCAAUGUUGCAUACGACAAAGGCCGCCCAGAUCAGCAUGGCGGUACUAAAUCGUCCACUCGCAAUCGCGGCACAUUGCGCUAUUCCCAAGCUGACUUGACAUGUGAGAAAAGCAAUGCACCAAGCCAAGAAAAAACCAACUGCUGACGGAUGUAAUCCAAUUAGCCAGUAACAAAUUGUUAAUAAUAAACCGGACAUUGCGAGAUUAUGGAGAAUGUCAAUUAGCCAGGCGCUCACGAACCACAUCCAUGCCACGUACACACCACCGACAAUCUCUCGUCGUAUUACCGCUAAAUUUUGCGUUAGACAUUUGGAAAUUCCAUA
Long non-coding RNA from Paramacrobiotus metropolitanus, 1515 nucleotides. RefSeq lists it as uncharacterized. The transcript has 3 exons. NCBI's taxonomy places the organism in Eukaryota, Metazoa, Tardigrada, Eutardigrada, Parachela, Macrobiotidae. The record is from RefSeq and is a predicted model, not a curated record.